This 757-nucleotide ribosomal RNA is filed under the name uncultured Actinomyces sp. Its description in RNAcentral is "bacterial SSU rRNA". It matches the Rfam family "Bacterial small subunit ribosomal RNA", at positions 28 to 776 of the family's 1533-position model. Lineage: Bacteria; Bacillati; Actinomycetota; Actinomycetes; Actinomycetales; Actinomycetaceae. The record is from RNAcentral.
GACGAGCGCUGGCGGCGUGCUUAACACAUGCAAGUCGAACGAAAAUACCAAGCUUGCUUGGUUGAUUAGUGGCGAACGGGUGAGUAACACGUGAGUAACCUGCCCCUUACUUUCCUGGAUAACUGCUCGAAAGGGUAGCUAAUACGGGAUAUUCUGACUAGCCUGCAUGGGUUGGUUUGGAAAGGUUGUUUUUCUGGUAAGGGAUGGGCUCGCGGCCUAUCAGCUUGUUGGUGGGGUGAUGGCCUACCAAGGCUUUGACGGGUAGCCGGCCUGAGAGGGUGGACGGUCACACUGGGACUGAGAUACGGCCCAGACUCCUACGGGAGGCAGCAGUGGGGAAUAUUGCACAAUGGGCGCAAGCCUGAUGCAGCGACGCCGCGUGAGGGAUGAAGGCCUUCGGGUUGUAAACCUCUUUCGUCAGGGAACAAGGCACCGUCUUUUUGGUGGUGUUGAGGGUACCUGGAUAAGAAGCGCCGGCUAACUACGUGCCAGCAGCCGCGGUAAUACGUAGGGCGCAAGCGUUGUCCGGAAUUAUUGGGCGUAAAGAGCUCGUAGGCGGCUGGUCGCGUCUGUCGUGAAAACUCCCGGCUCAACCGGGGGCUUGCGGUGGGUACGGGCCGGCUAGAGUGCGGUAGGGGUAACUGGAACUCCUGGUGUAGCGGUGGAAUGCGCAGAUAUCAGGAAGAACACCGAUGGCGAAGGCAGGUUACUGGGCCGUUACUGACGCUGAGGAGCGAAAGCGUGGGGAGCGAACAGG